RNAcentral lists this small RNA (28 nucleotides) under Bombyx mori (domestic silkworm). RNAcentral's name for it is "ovarian small RNA-25396". Lineage: Eukaryota; Metazoa; Arthropoda; Insecta; Lepidoptera; Bombycidae. The record is from RNAcentral.
UCACUCAGAAUUAUCACUGGAGCCAUGA